UUUUUCAAGAGGAAUCGUAGAGUUUAGAGAGAGAAAAAGACAUCAGAGAAAAUGAACCCUAAUCCAAAAAUCAGGAUAAUGUGUCGUGUGAAUGAAUCGCAAAAACAGAAAAAAUCGCAAACCCACAACCUCAUUCAGCAAAUCGCGAAAAAAUGACACUUAACAAGCAAGAUUACCAAAAUAAAAUUGAUAUCGCAAACUGAAAUGAUUUGGAAAGAGAAUAGAACUUACUUGCUACUGCAAAUCGUAAAGUGAAACGAGAGAGAUGAAUUUAGGAUAGUUCAAAAUUGAAUUUAGGGGUUUUGGGGAUUAGAGUUAGUUGAAGAUAGUAGAGAGAAAAAGGUUUGAGAAAUACAAAGAAAAAGAAAAGAUUUCUUAAGUGUUUGGUGUAGUUGCAGUGAUGAUGUGAUAUUUUGUUCCCUUUCUGAUAUUGAGCUCCAGCGAUGAUGAGUGAUCUUACCAGCUUAUCA
RNAcentral lists this long non-coding RNA (470 nucleotides) under Cicer arietinum (chickpea). RNAcentral's name for it is "long non-coding RNA (CARI_LNC001348)". Lineage: Eukaryota; Viridiplantae; Streptophyta; Magnoliopsida; Fabales; Fabaceae. The record is from RNAcentral.